UGGGGAAUAUUGCACAAUGGGCGCAAGCCUGAUGCAGCCAUGCCGCGUGUGUGAAGAAGGCCUUCGGGUUGUAAAGCACUUUCAGCGAGGAGGAAGGGUAGUGUGUUAAUAGCACAUUGCAUUGACGUUACUCGCAGAAGAAGCACCGGCUAACUCCGUGCCAGCAGCCGCGGUAAUACGGAGGGUGCAAGCGUUAAUCGGAAUUACUGGGCGUAAAGCGCACGCAGGCGGUUUGUUAAGUCAGAUGUGAAAUCCCGCGCUUAACGUGGA
RNAcentral lists this ribosomal RNA (270 nucleotides) under uncultured bacterium. Its description in RNAcentral is "partial 16S ribosomal RNA". It matches the Rfam family "Bacterial small subunit ribosomal RNA", at positions 355 to 618 of the family's 1533-position model. The record is from RNAcentral.